GUACAUUUGAAAACAUAACUUAAGCCCCCUUAUAUAGGCAAGCCUCCAAGCUACUCUUCAACAUUUUUGCAAUGUGGGACAAUGACCAUUCUCAUUUUUAAGCAAAAUCCCAACAGAUAUGACUAGGUCUUGUCCUUGACGAGAACAGCAACCUCGUGGAUUCUUAUAGCCGCAUGUGAAGGGAAAAACUCAUGCAAAAAGAUAGUGUUGUAAAUAAUUAGCAUAAAACCAAUUGUAAAUGGUGAGCGACAUCUACCUGUAGUGUAACAACAGUACGUGAACUUCUAAACAUGUUAGGAUAUAUUCUAGUCACUUCGUUCUUAACAGAUCUAGCUCAUGCCUAUGAUUAGAUUUUCUGGAAAUUGAAGACAUGAUCAUCAAACAGGUAUUAAAACACACAAGAUGAGCUACAGAAAUAGAUCAUGGUUGUAUAUGCAUAAUACAUCCAUAAAAGCAGUAUGCGACAGAAGGCGGUGCAGCAAGUUAUUCCGUUAAUGGUAUCCCAGUUUUGAUGCAUUGUCAUACCAUCUAUGGAUGCAGUUUAAAGAUCUCUUAUAAGACCAAUCUAUACAUAUGGACUACUUGCAAAGUGAACAAUGAAAUAGAAAAUCUCAACAGAACUUACACACUUGUCGU
This 636-nucleotide long non-coding RNA is filed under the name Nicotiana benthamiana. Its description in RNAcentral is "long non-coding RNA (NBEN_LNC028046)". Lineage: Eukaryota; Viridiplantae; Streptophyta; Magnoliopsida; Solanales; Solanaceae. The record is from RNAcentral.